GGAUAACGUAGGGAAACUUACCCUAAUACCGCAUACGACCUACGGGUGAAAGCAGGGGAUCUUCGGACCUUGCGCGAUUGAAUGAGCCGAUGUCGGAUUAGCUAGUUGGCGGGGUAAAGGCCCACCAAGGCGACGAUCCGUAGCUGGUCUGAGAGGAUGAUCAGCCACACUGGAACUGAGACACGGUCCACACUCCUACGGGAGGCAGCAGUGGGGAAUAUUGGACAAUGGGCGCAAGCCUGAUCCACCCAUACCGCGUGGGUGAAAAAGGCCUUCGGGGUGUAAAGCCCUUUUGUUGGGAA
This 302-nucleotide ribosomal RNA is filed under the name Stenotrophomonas maltophilia. RNAcentral's name for it is "bacterial SSU rRNA". It matches the Rfam family "Bacterial small subunit ribosomal RNA", at positions 141 to 445 of the family's 1533-position model. Lineage: Bacteria; Pseudomonadati; Pseudomonadota; Gammaproteobacteria; Lysobacterales; Lysobacteraceae. The record is from RNAcentral.